This is a long non-coding RNA of Equus caballus (horse), 1243 nucleotides long. The record is from Ensembl. Lineage: Eukaryota; Metazoa; Chordata; Mammalia; Perissodactyla; Equidae.
UGAGAAUUUGGGAAGUAAAUAACUGCUAAGUUAAAAAGCAGUAAUUUACUGAAUUUUGUUGACUUGUCUAGAACAUCUUUUAGAUGGACACUAUGUAGGGCAAAAAGAGUUAAGCUGGCCGUUUUCUAUUUUUUUUUAGGAAGAUUAGCCCUGAGCUAACAUCUGCUGCCAAUCCUCCUCUUUUUGCUGAGGAAGGCUGGCCCUGAGCUAACAUCUGUGCCCAUCUUCCUCUACUUUACAUGUGGGAUGCCUACCACAGCAUGGCUUGUCAAGCGAUGCCAUGUCCGCACCCGGGAUCUGAACUGGCGAACCCCAGACUGCUGAAGCAGAAUGUGUGAACUUAACUGCUGCGCCACUGGGUCAGCCCCUAAGCUGGCUUUUAGAAAAAAUCUAGAGCCCCUGCAUGCCCUGCUCAGGCCUCGCAUUUCGGGAAUGCCUUGGAGAUGGAGGUAGACGCAUGAUUAGGAAUUGAGGAAUUGAUCAUGGAAACUCAGCAGGCCUGAGCUCUACUUGGAGCGUUCCUCGGCUGAAUAGCAGAUAAAAUUUACUGGAUUUCCACGUCAGAACCUUUGCGAUUGCACUCUGUACUCCACUUUGAUGGAUUUAAAACUGGUCAUUAUGUUACAGGGCAAGUCGUAGCAGGAAUAAAAGCAGGUCGUUUCAAUCAGCCAUUUUAAUCAGGAGACGACGUUACUCUGUUAUUAAAGCUUGCCAUAUGCCAUAGAAAGGCGUAGAAACAUACUCUUGACAUUUAGGGCAGAUUGAAAAAAAAAAAAUGUUUGAUUUUGUAGAAAGGCAGAAAGGAAGUAAUCCGAUAGUAUAUAUAUAUUUAAAUAUUUCUCUGUCUCAGUAAGCAAGGUGGUUUUUGUAAGCCUCCUUUGGGACUGUGUCUCUCCUUUCCCUUAAAACCCGCAAGCAAGUUAAAAAGCAAAAAAACCCUCUGCUCUGUCCUUUUGGUGGUUCUGCUCUGGGAGCCGCGAUGCUCCCGGGCUGCCGAGCACGUCGAGAGCGCCCCCUAGGCGUUGGCACAGGACACAGCAGGGGGAAGCGGCGACCGAUCAAUAGCCGGCUGCGUGUGUCCCCGUCCAAAUCCACACACAGUGCCGGGGCGGCAGCCCACAAAGUGCCUGCUCUCUGUGCUCCUGUCUGAGGGUGAACUGGCAAGCGUGUCCACUUGCUUCAGAAGUUUCAGAUCGCGGCAGCUCUGGGUGCCUUUCUUUGUGUGCUUAUGACAAAAAUGGAG